This 1146-nucleotide ribosomal RNA is filed under the name Triticum aestivum (bread wheat). RNAcentral's name for it is "partial small subunit ribosomal RNA". The record is from RNAcentral. Lineage: Eukaryota; Viridiplantae; Streptophyta; Magnoliopsida; Poales; Poaceae.
AUGACACAUACAGAGGGGACAUCCAGCGGUUCCAAUGGCGAUCCCCGUGGCUCAAUGGCGCUCCCAGCGGCCGACGACGACAACAUCGGGAACAAAAAACUCUUUCCCCUCCGUUUCUUUUUCUUUUUCCCGCAUCCUGUCCCCACCCGUCAAAGGCCCAGCCAAAUUUUCUCCUUCUAUUUCGCCCGCGAAGAGGCACCACUAAAGGUCACCGCCCACCCCGGCAUUUUUUCGCCAGAUUCAAUCGAAUCUCCUAUAUCCCACGACUGCGGCGAUCAGGGCCGGCAGAUUGGGGGUGGCCGCCCGCUGGCCGACCUUGAAUCCACCACACAACCAUCCCCACGAGCACUCCGCUCUACCCCCCCUGCUCGCAGCGACCGGCGACGGCGGAUUGGAGGAGGCCGCCCGACCGGCCGAGCUCAGAUCCACUACAUCAACCAGCAACAGCGGAUUGGAGGAGGCCUCCCCACCUGUCUCUCUUUCCCCACAGAUUGCAGCGACCAGCGUCGGCUGACGAAUAAAGACCGAGUCUGCACUUGUUCGAAACUGAAUAAAGGCCGAGUCUGCACUUGUUCUUGUUUAACUGAAUUCUGGAUGCUCCAUAUUUCAAAUGACUCAGAGUAUGAACCAGAUGCUGAAGAGGAGGCCUAUGUAGAGGAAGAGGAUUUGAGAGAUGAAGAGGAGGUCGCUCUUCCAAAGUCCAAAGCAAUGGAAGCAUUAUCAAAUAAGCCACCCAACAUUACUCAUGAGAAUUGGACUAGCCUUGUCAAUAAAUGGUCUGAUGAAAGAAACAAGAAAAUAUGUCAAAUGAAUAAGGAAAACCGAGAAGCUGUCAGGCAACACCAAAAGACGGGAUCUAUGUCCUAUGUUUCCUAUUUCAGCAAACUUAAUGCGAUGGAAAAAAGAAGGGAAGCACAAUCAGAAGGUGAGCAGCCAGUAUCCGAUACAUCGAUUGUGGCUGAAGUUCUAAAGGAAGAAAGCGCCCAUAGCACCGUCCUUUCUAGCAUGGGGUAUGCAUCAAGAUCCGGGAGGCAUCGGGAGGAGUUAGUCGCAAGACUUGAAGCACGAGAGAGAGCAUUUCAAGAGAUACAAAAGAAGCAACAAGAAGAAUUGGAAGCUCUAAAGAAGAGCUGCUUGAUUUUUUGA